CAGUCGCCGCGGGAACACGAAGGGUGCAAGCGUUACUCGGAAUUACUGGGCGUAAAGCGUGCGUAGGUGGUGGUUUAAGUCCGUUGUGAAAGCCCUGGGCUCAACCUGGGAAUUGCAGUGGAUACUGGGUCACUAGAGUGUGGUAGAGGAUAGUGGAAUUUCCGGUGUAGCAGUGAAAUGCGUAGAGAUCGGAAGGAACAUCUGUGGCGAAGGCGACUAUCUGGGCCAACACUGACACUGAGGCACGAAAGCGUGGGGAGCAAACAGGAUUAGAUACCCGAGUAGUCCCUGUCUCUUAUAA
RNAcentral lists this ribosomal RNA (301 nucleotides) under uncultured bacterium. RNAcentral's name for it is "partial 16S ribosomal RNA". It matches the Rfam family "Bacterial small subunit ribosomal RNA", at positions 509 to 809 of the family's 1533-position model. The record is from RNAcentral.